AGAGAUGUGUGAUGACGCAUAUCAAUAAGCGGAGGAAAAGAAACUAACAAGGAUUCCCUUAGUAACGGCGAGUGAAGCGGGAAGAGCUCAAAUUUGAAAUCUUCAAGAUUCUACCUUGACGAAUUGUAGUUUAUAGAAGUGUUUUCUGUUAGUAGAGUGGCAAAAGUUCUUUGGAAUAGGACAUCAUAGAGGGUGAGAAUCCCGUAUUUGGUCAUUUCUCCUAGCGUUGUGAUACACUUUCAACGAGUCGGAUUGUUUGGGAAUGCAGUCCAAAAUGGGUGGUAAAUUUCAUCUAAAGCUAAAUAUUGGCGAGAGACCGAUAGCGAACAAGUACCGUGAGGGAAAGAUGAAAAGAACUUUGAAAGGAGAGUUAAACAGUACGUGAAAUUGUCAAAAGGGAAGCGUUUGACACCAGUGUUGUUUUUCCGAAAAUCAAUUACGAAUGUUUUGUUUUUGAGGAGUUAUGACUUCAUCGGCUUGCUCCCUUCUUUAUGAAACUUUCUUAAUGCACUUUUCGGUUAACAAGUCAACAUCAAUUUCUUUUGUUGUAAAAGGGUACGAGGAAGGUGGCUUUCUUUUCGGAGAAAGUGUUUAUAGCCUUGUGCCUCUGCAAUCGGAGAGAUUGAGGUCUGCAGCGUAGAUCCUUCGGGGUUAGAUACAUUUGUGCUAAGUUAUAGCUUUUCAUAGACAACUUGUUGACUAUGUUUAGUCUUGUAGCUUACUCGCUUAUGCUAUUUUACCUACGCUUAGGAUGUUGAAGAUGUAGCACAUCAU
Molecule: ribosomal RNA, 774 nt
Filed under: uncultured Neocallimastigales
Lineage: Eukaryota; Fungi; Neocallimastigomycota; Neocallimastigomycetes; Neocallimastigales
Description: partial large subunit ribosomal RNA
Rfam family: Eukaryotic large subunit ribosomal RNA
Source: RNAcentral